RNAcentral lists this ribosomal RNA (255 nucleotides) under uncultured bacterium. RNAcentral's name for it is "partial 16S ribosomal RNA". It matches the Rfam family "Bacterial small subunit ribosomal RNA", at positions 524 to 776 of the family's 1533-position model. The record is from RNAcentral.
UACGGGGGGAGCAAGCGUUGUUCGGAUUUACUGGGCGUAAAGGGCGCGUAGGCGGCCACCGCAAGUCGGUUGUGAAAUCUCUGGGCUUAACCCAGAAAGGUCAACCGAUACUGCGGGGCUAGAGUGCAGAAGGGGCAACUGGAAUUCUCGGUGUAGCGGUGGAAAUGCGUAGAUAUCGAGAGGAACACCUGCGGCGAAGGCGGGUUGCUGGGCUGACACUGACGCUGAAGCGCGAAAGCUAGGGGAGCGAACGGG